GUAGGGAAUCUUCGGCAAUGGGGGCAACCCUGACCGAGCAACGCCGCGUGAGUGAAGAAGGUUUUCGGAUCGUAAAGCUCUGUUGUAAGAGAAGAACGUGUGUGAGAGUGGAAAGUUCACACAGUGACGGUAACUUACCAGAAAGGGACGGCUAACUACGUGCCAGCAGCCGCGGUAAUACGUAGGUCCCGAGCGUUGUCCGGAUUUAUUGGGCGUAAAGCGAGCGCAGGCGGUUUAAUAAGUCUGAAGUUAAAGGCAGUGGCUUAACCAUUGUUCGCUUUGGAAACUGUUAAACUUGAGUGCAGAAGGGGAGAGUGGAAUUCCAUGUGUAGCGGUGAAAUGCGUAGAUAUAUGGAGGAACACCGGUGGCGAAAGCGGCUCUCUGGUCUGUAACUGACGCUGAGGCUCGAAAGCGUGGGGAGCAAACAGGAUUAGAAACCCCAGUAGUCCC
Molecule: ribosomal RNA, 451 nt
Filed under: uncultured bacterium
Lineage: Bacteria
Description: bacterial SSU rRNA
Rfam family: Bacterial small subunit ribosomal RNA
Source: RNAcentral